Molecule: ribosomal RNA, 559 nt
Filed under: uncultured bacterium
Lineage: Bacteria
Description: bacterial SSU rRNA
Rfam family: Bacterial small subunit ribosomal RNA
Source: RNAcentral
CGGAACGUGCCCAGUAGCGGGGGAUAACUACGCGAAAGCGUAGCUAAUACCGCAUACGCCCUACGGGGGAAAGGGGGGGAUCGUAAGACCUCUCACUAUUGGAGCGGCCGAUAUCGGAUUAGCUAGUUGGUGAGGUAAAGGCUCACCAAGGCGACGAUCCGUAGCUGGUUUGAGAGGACGACCAGCCACACUGGGACUGAGACACGGCCCAGACUCCUACGGGAGGCAGCAGUGGGGAAUUUUGGACAAUGGGGGAAACCCUGAUCCAGCCAUUCCGCGUGUGCGAUGAAGGCCUUCGGGUUGUAAAGCACUUUUGGCGGGAAAGAAAUCGGUCGGGCUAAUACCCUGACCGGAUGACGGUACCCGCAGAAUAAGCACCGGCUAACUACGUGCCAGCAGCCGCGGUAAUACGUAGGGUGCAAGCGUUAAUCGGAAUUACUGGACGUAAAGCGUGCGCAGGCGGUUCGGAAAGAAAGAUGUGAAAUCCCAGGGCUCAACCUUGGAACUGCAUUUUUAACUACCGGGCUAGAGUGUGUCAGAGGGAGGUGGAAUUCCGCGU